Long non-coding RNA from Canis lupus familiaris (dog), 561 nucleotides. RefSeq lists it as uncharacterized. The transcript is spliced from 4 exons. NCBI's taxonomy places the organism in Eukaryota, Metazoa, Chordata, Mammalia, Carnivora, Canidae. The record is from RefSeq and is a predicted model, not a curated record.
AGAAGUCCAAGAUCAAGGUGGGGGCAGGAUUGGUUACUUCUGAGGCUCCUCUCCUCAGCUGUGUCCUCACAUGGCCACCCUUCUGUAUAGCGAGCCUCUUAAGAGACGUAACCUAGUGGAAGCCAUGUAAUCUGACCGAGCGUUCAAGUUCCCAUCUGUAAUAUUUUUGUCUCAGGCAGACACUGCAAGAGAUGACAAGGUUCAGCAAGAUGACUCGGGCCAAAUUCACUUUUUUCCAUCUAAGAGCCAAAGAGUGGGAAAGGAAGACCAGAUCAGCAGCAUCAGGUAACAGUGCGAGCCCAGGUAGCAAUUAUAAUAGAUAUACACUCUUGGGUGUAAGUCAUUGGUGUGAGAACCAGGAGUAGACGAGAAGCCGGCUAAAGAAUUAUAACCCUCAAGGAAGAUGCACCCUGGGACGUCAAGGGCAUAAUGUAUAUGGAAUGUCAUUGCCCUCAAAUAUCAUUCCUAUCUGACCAUCAAAAAGAACUGGCGAAUUUAGUCCCUCAGAAGAAAAGAAGGAAUGAGUGGAUCUAUUAUUAUUAUUAUCAUAUAUUAAAUGUA